This 406-nucleotide ribosomal RNA is filed under the name bacterium enrichment culture clone ALO1_GLFRUDD03F5WSG. RNAcentral's name for it is "bacterial SSU rRNA". It matches the Rfam family "Bacterial small subunit ribosomal RNA", at positions 9 to 416 of the family's 1533-position model. The record is from RNAcentral.
GAGUUUGAUCUUGGCUCAGAUUGAGCGCUGGCGGCAUGCCUUACACAUGCAAGUCGAACGGCAGCACGGGAGCUUGCUCCUGGUGGCGAGUGGCGAACGGGUGAGUAAUGCAUCGGAACGUAUCCUGGAGUGGGGGAUAACGUAGCGAAAGUUACGCUAAUACCGCAUAUUCUGUGAGCAGGAAAGCGGGGGACCUUCGGGCCUCGCGCUCUUGGAGCGGCCGAUGUCGGAUUAGCUAGUUGGUGAGGUAAAGGCUCACCAAGGCGACGAUCCGUAGCAGGUCUGAGAGGAUGAUCUGCCACACUGGAACUGAGACACGGUCCAGACUCCUACGGAGGCAGCAGUGGGGAAUUUUGGACAAUGGGGGCAACCCUGAUCCAGCCAUGCCGCGUGAGUGAAGAAGGCC